This 253-nucleotide ribosomal RNA is filed under the name uncultured bacterium. RNAcentral describes it as "partial 16S ribosomal RNA". It matches the Rfam family "Bacterial small subunit ribosomal RNA", at positions 524 to 776 of the family's 1533-position model. The record is from RNAcentral.
UACGGAGGGUGCAAGCGUUGUCCGGAUUUACUGGGCGUAAAGAGCGCGCAGGCGGUCGUUCAAGUCGCGUGUGAAAGCCCCCGGCUCAACUGGGGAGGGUCACGCGAUACUGAUCGACUCGAAGGCAGGAGAGGGUAGUGGAAUUCCCGGUGUAGUGGUGAAAUGCGUAGAUAUCGGGAGGAACACCAGUGGCGAAGGCGACUACCUGGCCUGUUCUUGACGCUGAGGCGCGAAAGCUAGGGGAGCAAACGGG